UCCGUAGGUGAACCUGCGGAAGGAUUA
This 27-nucleotide ribosomal RNA is filed under the name Hericium erinaceus (lion's mane mushroom). RNAcentral's name for it is "partial 18S ribosomal RNA". The record is from RNAcentral. Lineage: Eukaryota; Fungi; Basidiomycota; Agaricomycetes; Russulales; Hericiaceae.